GACACCACCAGUUCAGCCUGUGUUGGCUCCGCAUACCGAGCCUUUCACGGCCUUGCAGGAGGGACAGGUGUAGCCUUUUCAGAGGUGGUAAAAUCAGCACCACAGCCCAGCCUGGCUGCCACCCCCAACCCAGGAGCUUCCCAGGUUUAUGCAGCCCUUCUCCCUCGAUAUGCUGAACUGGAACAGAGAAUCUUGUCCAAAGCUCGGGGGCCUCUGGAAUGAAUUCUUCGGGCCCAGGCACCAGAAAAGAAGGGAGGAGAAUAAAGACAAGAUCCCUGUUGAUACUUAGAACUUCCCAAAAUAAACAAAAUUUUGAAAACACCUAAAA
Molecule: long non-coding RNA, 328 nt
Filed under: Rattus norvegicus (Norway rat)
Lineage: Eukaryota; Metazoa; Chordata; Mammalia; Rodentia; Muridae
Description: long non-coding RNA NONRATT028152
Source: RNAcentral